Molecule: long non-coding RNA, 500 nt
Organism: Amphimedon queenslandica
Lineage: Eukaryota; Metazoa; Porifera; Demospongiae; Haplosclerida; Niphatidae
Exons: 2
Source: RefSeq, a predicted model, not a curated record
AGUAUAGUAAAUGAAUGCAUGCCCUCAUGACUGCUCACAAUAGAGAAUUGUCUAUGAUUCAUGGGUGAUCAAGGACUAAGAUAUUGAUUGAAUAUGGUUGGCUGAUAUGGUACUGUAUGUGUGGUUGUUACAAUCUGCCACUGGAUCUAAGGUCAUUUUUGUGAAUACCAUGCAGUUUAUGGAGUUGUUUAUUGUAAAUCUUUGAGCUGUCAUUGCACCAGCUCAAGUUCAGUGGUCAUUGGCAGGUAUAGAGUAACCUCCUGGGAGCUAGAGAGGGAGGAUAUGUUAACUAUUACAUGUAUGAUGUACAUAGAAUAGUCUUUAAUUGUAGGUAUACUCAGAGAGUUAUGUUAUUGCUGAUGUUGAACAUCAUUCUAUAGGACUGAUCAUACAUAUGAGAGAAAAAAGAACUUAAAUAGUUACACUUGUGCUAGUAUUAUGAUAGCUAUGGAGAUAUUUUGUUUGAAUUAAAAACUUUUUUAGUGUUGACAUAAUGUAAA